This is a long non-coding RNA of Suricata suricatta (meerkat), 289 nucleotides long. RefSeq lists it as uncharacterized. The record is from RefSeq and is a predicted model, not a curated record. The transcript is spliced from 3 exons. Lineage: Eukaryota; Metazoa; Chordata; Mammalia; Carnivora; Herpestidae.
CUUCUGUUUCUCUAACUCUGCAAACAAAACCCUGAAAAUCCUACUUCAAAGACAAAGAAGAGGUGGUCAGGCUCCCGUGAGUCACUCAGAGUUUGGAUGUGGUAAGGAUCAGAGCCAAACUAGGACCUGCAUUUAUGAUCUCAAGUAACCGGAAGCUCCAAGAUAAAAGAAGAGAAUUUCAAGGCCAGGCUGAACAUUUGACAUCGUCUUAUUUGUGGAGCAUUAUCCCCGGACUUGGAGGGUGCUGCUGUUGGGAUCUGUGUGGUGGAGCUGGGAACCAGCCCCAAGA